RNAcentral lists this ribosomal RNA (288 nucleotides) under uncultured bacterium. Its description in RNAcentral is "partial 16S ribosomal RNA". It matches the Rfam family "Bacterial small subunit ribosomal RNA", at positions 773 to 1060 of the family's 1533-position model. The record is from RNAcentral.
GUGGAUUAGAUACCCUAGUAGUCCACGCCGUAAACGAUGGGCACUAGGUGUGGGAGGUGUCGACUCCUUCCGUGCCGUAGCUAACGCAUUAAGUGCCCCGCCUGGGGAGUACGGCCGCAAGGCUAAAACUCAAAGGAAUUGACGGGGGCCCGCACAAGCAGCGGAGCAUGUGGUUUAAUUCGACGCAACGCGAAGAACCUUACCUGGGUUUGACAUGUCGGUCGCACCCGUGGAAACACGGGGUCAUUUAGUUGGACCGUCACAGGUGGUGCACGGUUGUCGUCAACU